This 1307-nucleotide long non-coding RNA is filed under the name Canis lupus familiaris (dog). RNAcentral's name for it is "lncRNA (ENSCAFG00000054146.1)". Lineage: Eukaryota; Metazoa; Chordata; Mammalia; Carnivora; Canidae. The record is from RNAcentral.
GCUUUCACUUCUACCUACAUAACAUUUUACCAAAAAGACUUUUCUGUCAAUACAUUUCUUUUUCAAUGCCUGCGUAAUCAUUCUCCUGUAUUUUACUUAAUUGUUGGCAGGAUUUUCACAGUGUUUCCUAAGCCAUGGGCUAUGCCCAUGAGACAAAAUGCUUUCCUUCUAGAACUCCCAGGCUGGUUGAGCCCCCAAAGGCUGGCAGUUUCCACUUAAUGUAAUAAACAGCAGGGGUGGAUGCUGUGCUGCAUGCAAUGGAAGCUUGCAAGGGGGUAGGGGGGCAAGGGCUCAGUCAAGGAAGGCUUUGUGGGGAGAAGACACUGUUACCUCGAAUCUUGAAGAAGGAGCAGGAGCCCCCAAAUGUAGAGGCUGGGACAGAAUGGAGGGGCCCCUGGUGCAAUGGGACUUACCAACACUGCCCCCCACCCCCACCCCAACCCAGCCCUGGCUCUGGUGGUUUGUUUCUGCUUUUCCUUUGGAGAUGACACAUUCAGCGACCUAGGGCUCCAGCUGUUUAUCAGGGGCCAUCCCAGGGGCAGGGGCUCCCACCCCCUGCUACGGAGCUGUGGGGCCCUGAUUAAGGAAACAGCUGAGACAAGGCACCCAGGGCAGAGGGGGCAGGGCAGAGGGGGCGGGAGAACCGGAAGGCCUUGGUGGGGAACGGAGGCCGGAGGCCGAGAGCUGCUGGAGAGGAGCAGGCCGCAGAGCAGGAGAGAGCCCAGACGGGCCCUUUUGUGCUUCAAGGCAUGCCCCCACCCCCCUCCACCUAGUGAAAGGCUCCUUCGGAUGGCACCUCCCCUGUGAGUCCAUUCAUUCAUCAAAAAUGUCCUGAUGGCAUCACUUAGAAUUAAUCUGUCUCCUUUGUUCACUUAGCAGGUCAGCCUUUUGCAGUUGAAAGAGUGUGAACUCUGGAAUCAAAAAUCAUACUAGAGAUGCCUGGGUGGCUCAGUGGCUGAGCAUCUGCUUUUGGCUCAGGGCGUGAUCCCUGGGUCCUGGAGUCCCAGUCCCACAUCCAGCUCCCCGCAGAGAGCCUACUUCUCCCUCUGCCUAUGUCUCUGCCUCUCUCUCUGUCUCCUAUGAAUAAAUAAAUGGAGAAAAUCUUUAAAAAAAGAAUCAUACUAGCAGAUCCUUUCUAAGCAUUUAACGUAUGCUAGGCACGAUGAUAAGAGUUUUGAAUCUGUUGUUCUAUUUGAAUCUAUUGUUUUCUCACUUUCCAACAGUCAGUGAGGUAACAACUAUUAUUAUCACCAUGGUUGUAGCAGAAAAAACUGGAGGGCAAAGGGUUUAGUAAGCCUAAAGCAUCA